This 841-nucleotide long non-coding RNA is filed under the name Callithrix jacchus (white-tufted-ear marmoset). RNAcentral describes it as "lncRNA (ENSCJAG00000080246.1)". Lineage: Eukaryota; Metazoa; Chordata; Mammalia; Primates; Cebidae. The record is from RNAcentral.
GACAGUCACCAGGAGCAAUGGACACGAAGCCCCCAGCCCCAGCUGUGCAUCUCAGGGGCUCCGUAAACAUUGGCCCCUCCAUCCCAAGGGAGUCAUGGCGGCAACUGGGUUGGGGGCUAGGGCCACAAUGGACAAGACAGCAUCUGUGGAUGAGGAGCUGUCCCCUGCCACCUGAUCUCCAGCAGGCACAUUCACCUGUGCUCUCCAGCAGCCAUGUGUACCCAGACAGUGGCAGGCAGUGUUUGGACGGAAAAGGAGAAACCACCUCUGGUGCGGAGGGCUGGGGAGAACUCACGCCAGUGACUGUGUGUUCUGGGACACACUGGACGGAAGGCAGCCUGUCCAUGAUGAACCACACAGCAGCAGCAGCAGCAAGACCAGUGAUGGCCUGAGCGAUCCCUGGUGAGUGUACUCAAUUGCUGUGAUCUCCUUCCUACCCAAAUCAUCUAAUGAUUAAAUUCACUGUGAGAAAUCUAUUACUUUCUUUAACAAGUGAAAGGUUGGCAAAGAAAACUUACUCAUGAGAUCUCAUAACAUUUGCAAAACGGUAUCCUGAAAGGGUGCUUCGGCCAUAACUAAUAUAAGCAAAACUGGACCUAUUCACCCACACUUGGACUAUGUUCUUCAUUCUUUGGUGAAGGAAAACUUUGGUCUACUCCCUCUUUCUUUUUGGUCCUUCUUUUUUCAAAAAUAAUGGUAAGAUUCACUUGCAGUGUUGGGAGCACCUUUCUCUCUCAUUCAGUGUGAGCAUAUGUAUGUGGGGGCGUGUGUUCUGACUCCAUCCUGAUUCCAAGUCAUGGACCAUUAAUGUCUGACUGCAAAACUAAGGAGCCACUAAAUA